AGGACGGGCCUUUCAGGCAUCCUCUCCUAAUGACUUUACGGCCGGCCCCUCGGGGUCGGCCUUUUUUUUCCUUCGC
RNAcentral lists this small RNA (76 nucleotides) under Sphingomonas sp. YR710. RNAcentral describes it as "Makes More Granules Regulator RNA (mmgR)". It matches the Rfam family "Makes More Granules Regulator RNA (mmgR)". Rfam says of the family: SuhB later renamed mmgR (makes more granules regulator) was a putative non-coding RNA found multiple times in the Agrobacterium tumefaciens genome and related alpha-proteobacteria. Other non-coding RNAs uncovered in the same analysis include: speF, ybhL, metA, and serC. Lineage: Bacteria; Pseudomonadati; Pseudomonadota; Alphaproteobacteria; Sphingomonadales; Sphingomonadaceae. The record is from Rfam by way of RNAcentral.